Molecule: ribosomal RNA, 1447 nt
Filed under: uncultured organism
Description: SSU rRNA
Rfam family: Bacterial small subunit ribosomal RNA
Source: RNAcentral
ACGCUAGCUACAGGCUUAACACAUGCAAGUCGAGGGGCAUCAGGAAGAAAGCUUGCUUUCUUUGCUGGCGACCGGCGCACGGGUGAGUAACACGUAUCCAACCUGCCCUUUACUCGGGGAUAGCCUUUCGAAAGAAAGAUUAAUACCCGAUGGCAUAAUGAUUCCGCAUGGUUUCAUUAUUAAAGGAUUCCGGUAAAGGAUGGGGAUGCGUUCCAUUAGGUUGUUGGUGAGGUAACGGCUCACCAAGCCUUCGAUGGAUAGGGGUUCUGAGAGGAAGGUCCCCCACAUUGGAACUGAGACACGGUCCAAACUCCUACGGGAGGCAGCAGUGAGGAAUAUUGGUCAAUGGGCGCUAGCCUGAACCAGCCAAGUAGCGUGAAGGAUGAAGGCUCUAUGGGUCGUAAACUUCUUUUAUAUAAGAAUAAAGUGCAGUAUGUAUACUGUUUUGUAUGUAUUAUAUGAAUAAGGAUCGGCUAACUCCGUGCCAGCAGCCGCGGUAAUACGGAGGAUCCGAGCGUUAUCCGGAUUUAUUGGGUUUAAAGGGAGCGUAGGUGGACUGGUAAGUCAGUUGUGAAAGUUUGCGGCUCAACCGUAAAAUUGCAGUUGAUACUGUCAGUCUUGAGUACAGUAGAGGUGGGCGGAAUUCGUGGUGUAGCGGUGAAAUGCUUAGAUAUCACGAAGAACUCCGAUUGCGAAGGCAGCUCACUGGACUGCAACUGACACUGAUGCUCGAAAGUGUGGGUAUCAAACAGGAUUAGAUACCCUGGUAGUCCACACAGUAAACGAUGAAUACUCGCUGUUUGCGAUAUACAGUAAGCGGCCAAGCGAAAGCAUUAAGUAUUCCACCUGGGGAGUACGCCGGCAACGGUGAAACUCAAAGGAAUUGACGGGGGCCCGCACAAGCGGAGGAACAUGUGGUUUAAUUCGAUGAUACGCGAGGAACCUUACCCGGGCUUAAAUUGCAGUGGAAUGAUGUGGAAACAUGUCAGUGAGCAAUCACCGCUGUGAAGGUGCUGCAUGGUUGUCGUCAGCUCGUGCCGUGGGGUGUCGGCUUAAGUGCCAUAACGAGCGCAACCCUUAUCUUUAGUUACUAACAGGUUAUGCUGAGGACUCUAGAGAGACUGCCGUCGUAAGAUGUGAGGAAGGUGGGGAUGACGUCAAAUCAGCACGGCCCUUACGUCCGGGGCUACACACGUGUUACAAUGGGGGGUACAGAAGGCAGCUAGCGGGUGACCGUAUGCUAAUCCCAAAAUCCUCUCUCAGUUCGGAUCGAAGUCUGCAACCCGACUUCGUGAAGCUGGAUUCGCUAGUAAUCGCGCAUCAGCCACGGCGCGGUGAAUACGUUCCCGGGCCUUGUACACACCGCCCGUCAAGCCAUGGGAGCCGGGGGUACCUGAAGUACGUAACCGCAAGGAUCGUCCUAGGGUAAAACUGGUGACUGGGGCUA